RNAcentral lists this ribosomal RNA (384 nucleotides) under uncultured bacterium. RNAcentral describes it as "bacterial SSU rRNA". It matches the Rfam family "Bacterial small subunit ribosomal RNA", at positions 29 to 416 of the family's 1533-position model. The record is from RNAcentral.
AUUAAACGCUGGCGGCAUGCCUUACACAUGCAAGUCGAACGGCAGCACGGGGCAACCUGGUGGCGAGUGGCGAACGGGUGAGUAAAGCAUCGGAACGUGCCCUGGAGUGGGGGAUAACGUAGCGAAAGUUACGCUAAUACCGCAUAUUCUGUGAGCAGGAAAGCAGGGGAUCGCAAGACCUUGCGCUCUGGGAGCGGCCGAUGUCGGAUUAGCUAGUUGGUGGGGUAAAGGCCUACCAAGGCGACGAUCCGUAGCGGGUCUGAGAGGAUGAUCCGCCACACUGGGACUGAGACACGGCCCAGACUCCUACGGGAGGCAGCAGUGGGGAAUUUUGGACAAUGGGCGGAAGCCUGAUCCAGCCAUGCCGCGUGAGUGAAGAAGGCC